AGGUGAACCUGCGGAAGGAUCAUUAGUGAAUAUAGGACGUCCAACUUAACUUGGAGUCCGAACUCUCACUUUCUAACCCUGUGCACUUGUUUGGGAUAGUAACUCUCGCAAGAGAGCGAACUCCUAUUCACUUAUAAACACAAAGUCUAUGAAUGUAUUAAAUUUUAUAACAAAAUAAAACUUUCAACAACGGAUCUCUUGGCUCUCGCAUCGAUGAAGAACGCAGCGAAAUGCGAUAAGUAAUGUGAAUUGCAGAAUUCAGUGAAUCAUCGAAUCUUUGAACGCACCUUGCGCUCCAUGGUAUUCCGUGGAGCAUGCCUGUUUGAGUGUCAUGAAUACUUCAACCCUCCUCUUUCUUAAUGAUUGAAGAGGUGUUUGGUUUCUGAGCGCUGCUGGCCUUUACGGUCUAGCUCGUUCGUAAUGCAUUAGCAUCCGCAAUCGAACUUCGGAUUGACUUGGCGUAAUAGACUAUUCGCUGAGGAAUUCUAGUCUUCGGAUUAGAGCCGGGUUGGGUUAAAGGAAGCUUCUAAUCAGAAUGUCUACAUUUUAAGAUUAGAUCUCAAAUCAGGUAGGACUACCCGCUGAACUUAAGCAUAUCAAUAAG
RNAcentral lists this ribosomal RNA (604 nucleotides) under Rhodotorula mucilaginosa. Its description in RNAcentral is "eukaryotic LSU rRNA". The stretch from base 179 to 332 matches the Rfam family "5.8S ribosomal RNA". Lineage: Eukaryota; Fungi; Basidiomycota; Microbotryomycetes; Sporidiobolales; Sporidiobolaceae. The record is from RNAcentral.